This 180-nucleotide long non-coding RNA is filed under the name Sparus aurata (gilthead seabream). Its description in RNAcentral is "lncRNA (ENSSAUG00010017848.1)". Lineage: Eukaryota; Metazoa; Chordata; Actinopteri; Spariformes; Sparidae. The record is from RNAcentral.
GGUAUGUUUGUGCUGGACGGCAGUUUGCUUUGUUCGACGCUCACUGCAGGUUGCUGAGGGACGAGCAGAGCGCGGAGACAAUAGGAAGCUGCUGCUGCACAGAGUUUCAAGGGGGAAAAGGUAACGGCUCGGGCAGAAAGGACUCCCAGCCUGUGAAGGGAAGACGCAGAAUGAUGCCAC